CACGCCGUAAACGAUGUCGACUUGGAGGUUGUGCCCUUGAGGCGUGGCUUCCGGAGCUAACGCGUUAAGUCGACCGCCUGGGGAGUACGGCCGCAAGGUUAAAACUCAAAUGAAUUGACGGGGGCCCGCACAAGCGGUGGAGCAUGUGGUUUAAUUCGAUGCAACGCGAAGAACCUUACCUACUCUUGACAUCCAGAGAACUUUCCAGAGAUGGAUUGGUGCCUUCGGGAACUCUGAGACAGGUGCUGCAUGGCUGUCGUCAGCUCGUGUUGUGAAAUGUUGGGUUAAGUCCCGCAACGAGCGCAACCCUUAUCCUUUGUUGCCAGCGGUCCGGCCGGGAACUCAAAGGAGACUGCCAGUGAUAAACUGGAGGAAGGUGGGGAUGACGUCAAGUCAUCAUGGCCCUUACGAGUAGGGCUACACACGUGCUACAAUGGCGCAUACAAAGAGAAGCGAACUCGCGAGAGCAAGCGGACCUCAUAAAGUGCGUCGUAGUCCGGAUUGGAGUCUGCAACUCGACUCCAUGAAGUCGGAAUCGCUAGUAAUCGUAGAUCAGAAUGCUACGGUGAAUACGUUCCCGGGCCUUGUACACACCGCCCGUCACACCAUGGGAGUGGGUUGCAAAAGAAGUAGGUAGCUUAACCUUCGGGAGGGCGCUUACCACUUUGUGAUUCAUGACUGGGGUGAAGUCG
This 692-nucleotide ribosomal RNA is filed under the name Enterobacteriaceae bacterium. Its description in RNAcentral is "bacterial SSU rRNA". It matches the Rfam family "Bacterial small subunit ribosomal RNA", at positions 796 to 1488 of the family's 1533-position model. Lineage: Bacteria; Pseudomonadati; Pseudomonadota; Gammaproteobacteria; Enterobacterales; Enterobacteriaceae. The record is from RNAcentral.